ACGGGGUGCAGCAGGCGCGAAAACUCCACAAUGUACGGAAGUACGAUGGGGUUAUCUCGAGUGCAGUCCGAUAAGGGCUGCUUUUCCAUAGAGUAAUAUCCUGUGGGAAUAAGAGGGGGGCAAGACUGGUGUCAGCCGCCGCGGUAACACCAGCCCCUCGAGUGGUGGGGACUAUUAUUUGGCCUAAAGCGUCCGUAGCUGGCUGUAUCCGUCUCCCGGUAAAUCCGGCGUCCUAAGCGUCGGUUCUCGGGUGAUACCAUACAGCUAGAGGGUGGGAUAGGUGAGCGGUAUUUCUGGGGUAGGGGCGAAA
RNAcentral lists this ribosomal RNA (310 nucleotides) under uncultured crenarchaeote. RNAcentral's name for it is "bacterial SSU rRNA". It matches the Rfam family "Archaeal small subunit ribosomal RNA", at positions 325 to 637 of the family's 1478-position model. The record is from RNAcentral. Lineage: Archaea; Thermoproteati; Thermoproteota.